UACGUGGGGGGCAAGCGUUAUCCGGAUUUACUGGGCGUAAAGGGUGCGUAGGUGGUUUCUUAAGUCAGGAGUGAAAGGCUACGGCUCAACCGUAGUAAGCUCUUGAAACUGGGAAACUUGAGUGCAGGAGAGGAAAGUGGAAUUCCUAGUGUAGCGGUGAAAUGCGUAGAUAUUAGGAGGAACACCAGUAGCGAAGGCGGCUUUCUGGACCGUAACUGACACUGAGGCACGAAAGCUUAGGGAGCAAACAGG
This 252-nucleotide ribosomal RNA is filed under the name uncultured bacterium. RNAcentral's name for it is "partial 16S ribosomal RNA". It matches the Rfam family "Bacterial small subunit ribosomal RNA", at positions 524 to 776 of the family's 1533-position model. The record is from RNAcentral.